ACUAAACAUGUUUGUGUGACAUGACAGCUACUUCUGUUCAAGAAGAAGACGACAGGAGAGAUGAUAACCUAAACCUGAUUAUUCAAGAGCUUAACAUAACUUACUCUCAGUUCCACUGUUUGCCACACUUGGUUUGUGCAAUUAAAUGAUGGGCUCUUCAGUGCGGGCCGUUCUACUGCCAGUGUUCGUCUGUGGAGAUUGGAUGGCUGUGUGCUCGUGUCUGCACCUGUCAGCACCUGUCAGCAACGGGGUGUCCACAUACUUUGCCUUCCAUAAAAUGAAGAAUGCCUGUUCUUUAUCAAUCCCAUCUGAUCUUUGGAGAGGACAGAUUCUAGCUAUACACUUUAGUGAUUAGCUUUAUGUCUAGGUUCAGUAGAGAUGUGAGGCCAUAUGAGCCAUUUUAGUGUUAAAGGAGAAUCACUUUUAAAAUAUGAGGUAGUAGUGGGGUUAGCUUAUCUGGAAACCAUCUGGGGCUAAGGCCUUUCCCACUACACAAGACACAUAAUGCUUGGGUGAUUGCAUUACUUGACAAUGUUUCCUCAAACUCUGCAUCCAGCUCAGAAUCACUGUAGAUAUGCUGGUGUGUAAAUGUAUCCACAAUGCACAGCAUGUUUCAUACCAUCAUUCUGGUGAAAUGUGGAUCUCAGCAAAGCUGGUUGUGCAGUAAGGGAAAUGUGAAUUGCACAGAGGUAAAAAUAUGGAACAUUGUUCCCGUCACUGAUUCCACCACAAACCCAGCACAUGUCCAUAUGUUGGUUUGAUGGUUUCAUAACCUCUGAAUUUACAAAGACGGAACUGCCUUCCACAGCAAAAGUAUUAACAUCUGUGAAUGUGUGUGUGCUUAAAAAUACAAUGUUGUUCCUUUUCAUUUCAGUGUGCCAUGGGAACUCUAAUGCUGCAGUUCUACUCUUUGUCCACACUGCCUGUCUACUGUUUUAUGUUUCCUAUCUCAUCUAAUACAUUUUUUUAAACUUCCACAGGUUUAUGUUUGUUGUUACUAAAGAACCUCAACUGUUCUUAUUCUUACAUGCCAUGUAUUAAUGACUUAUUUCUAAAGGAUUGAUAGUGUUUUUUGUUGAUGUAGAUGUUUUUAUUUGGGUGUAUGCAAAUAGAAUAGCAUGCUUUUCUAUGCAUACUGUGCAUGUGUACUCAAAGGGUAAUGGUGAUGACCAGCACAUCCCUGGCCUCCAACAGGAUGACUUGUAUUCAUGCCAGGUGAACAGUGUCUAGGCACAGGUUCUCCAACAGGACCCAAGUCAUUCUGAAAGUACAUGCAAUUUUUGCAUGUGUCCCAUUGCAAACUGUCAUAAACAUAAAGCUAUCGGCUACUAGUGCAAGCCUCUCUACUCUGGCUUCCUGUUAAGGCUAGGGCUGAUUUCAAGGUUUUACUGCUAAGCAUUACAUGAGCGUGCUCCUACCUAUCUUUACGAUUUGGUCCUGCCGUACAUACGUACACGUACGCUACGGUCACAAGACACAGGAAUCACAUUACCGUCCCUAGAAUUUCUAAGCAAACAGCCAGAGGCAGGGCUUUCUCCUAUAGAGCCUCAUUUUUAUGGAAUGGGCUGCCAAUCCAUGUGAGAGACGCAGACUCGGUCUCAACCUUUAAGUCUUUAUUGAAGACUCAUCUCUUCAGUAGGUCCUGUGAUUGAGUGUAGUCUGGCCCAGGAGUGUGAAGGUGAACGAAAAGGCACUUGAGCAACAAACCGCCCUUGCUGUCUCUGCCUUGCCGGUUCCCCUCUCUCCACUGCGAUUCUCUGCCUCUAACCUUAUUACAGGGGCUGAGUCACUGGCUUACUGGUGCUCUUCCAUGCCAUCCCUAAGAGGGGUGUGUCACUUGAGUGGGUUGAGUCAACCCCUCUUGGGUUAUGCUGUGGGGGAGAUCUUCGUGGGCUAUACUCGACCUUGUCUCAGGAUGGUAAGUUGGUGGUUGAAGAUAUCCUUCUAGUGGUGUGGGGGCUGUGCUUUGGUAAAGUGGGUGGGAUUAUAACCUGCCUGUUUGGCACUGUCCGGGGGUAUCGUUUGACGGGGCCGCAGUAUCUCCCGACCCUUCCUGUCUCAGCCUCCAGUAUUUAUGCUGUAAUAGUUUAUGGUGUCGGGGGGGGGGGUUAGGGUCAGUCUGUUAUAUCUGGAGUAUUUAUCCUGUCUUAUCCGGUGUCCUGUGUGAAUUUAAGUAUGCUCUCUCUAACUCUCGCUCUCUUUUUUCUCUUUCUCUUUUUCUCUAUUUCUUUCUUUCUCUCUCUCUCUCGGAGGACCUGAGCCCUAGAACCAUGCCUCGGGACUACCUGGCCUGAUGACUCCUUGCUGCCCCCAGUCCACCUGGCUGUGCUGCUGCUCCAGUUUAACUGUUCUGCCUGCGUCUAUGGAACCCUGACCUGUUCACCGGAUGUUCUACCUUGGCCCAAACCUGCUGUUUUCAACUCUCUAGAGACAGCAGGAGCUGUAGAGAUACUCUGAAUGUUCGGCUAUGAGAAACGCCAACUGACAUUUACUCCUGAGGUGCUGACCUGUUGCACCCUCGACAACCACUGUGAUUAUCAUUAUUUGACCCUGCUGGUCAUCUAUGAACAUCUGAACAUCUUGUUCCAUGUUCUGUUAUAAUCUCCACUCGGCACAGCCAGAAGAGGACUGGCCACCACCAUAACCUGGUUCCUCUCUAGGUUUCUUCCUAGGUUCUGGCCUUUGUAGGGAGUUUUUCCUAGCCACCGUGCUUCUACACCUGCAUUGCUUGCUGUUUGGGAUUUUAGGCUGUCAAGUUGUGACAUCAGCUGAUGUAAGAAGGGCUUUAUAAAUACAUUUGAUUGAUUGAUACUAUCCAAUCAGAGCCACUUUGACAUGACUGCUAGCCAGGAGCCGUACCAGUACCUGAACGACCAGGGUCUGUACACCUCCCUGCACCUGCGUCAGCUAGCCAAGGAACUGAGGGAGCUGGAGGCUUCAUACACCAAGACAAGCCAAGUGAUCAAACUCAAACAUGGACCAAAGAGAUCGAUGUGGUGUGUAAGGAGAUAGAUACUGUAGGAUGCAUUUGUCAAACACCUUUAACAUGAAGAUGCUGAAAGAAAAGUGCAGCUUUCUGAAGAAUGGCAUGGAGUCCUGUAGGACAAUCCCAGAUCAGUUCAUAAAUGAGUGUCAAUGUGUGUUUUUGAGAGACAGCUCAGAUAUCUUAGGCCAGGAGGGCAGUGAGGACUUCUACUAUAUUCAGCCCCUUGUGAACGGCCACAGACUGGGGAACAUCGUUCGCUGUUACAGCCCCUAUGACAACUUCAUGACCUCCAAGAACCAUGAGGAUGUGUCCGUGGCACCGUCCCCCAGCCUUGCUAAUUCCAUCCAGGGCUUCGGCACCGUGGUAUGGUGAGGCAGUGUUCUAUAACUGCUGCGACUCCGCUGAGCUGGCCCACUAUGACCUACAGACCAAGGUCACAAGUCGUGUGAAGAUACCUGACGUCGGCUACAACAACCAGUUCCUCUACUGCUACUACAUGAGACUGGGUUAUCUACAGCACUACUGUGGCCAUGGUGCUGAGCCAGCUAGAUAGUUUCUAAUAUUCUGUACACUCAGUGUAGAAACAGUGUGUGUGCUGUUUUUCUGCUUAUCUUUAUAAUGUUGACUUCUUCCUAAAGAAAUUAAAUCACAACGGUGUUAAAUAAGGGUUGGCUAGAAUUAGAUUUGAAAUGUCUUGAAGUGCUAUAAACAUGAUAAACACACUGAA
Molecule: long non-coding RNA, 3713 nt
Organism: Oncorhynchus keta (chum salmon)
Lineage: Eukaryota; Metazoa; Chordata; Actinopteri; Salmoniformes; Salmonidae
Exons: 2
Source: RefSeq, a predicted model, not a curated record